GACAAAGGUAAAAUGGAUAAUUA
RNAcentral lists this non-coding RNA (23 nucleotides) under Arabidopsis thaliana (thale cress). The record is from RNAcentral. Lineage: Eukaryota; Viridiplantae; Streptophyta; Magnoliopsida; Brassicales; Brassicaceae.